This 253-nucleotide ribosomal RNA is filed under the name uncultured bacterium. Its description in RNAcentral is "partial 16S ribosomal RNA". It matches the Rfam family "Bacterial small subunit ribosomal RNA", at positions 524 to 776 of the family's 1533-position model. The record is from RNAcentral.
UACGUAGGGGGCUAGCGUUGUCCGGAAUCAUUGGGCGUAAAGAGCGUGUAGGCGGCUCGAUAAGUCUGCUGUGAAAGUCCAGGGCUCAACCCUGGAAGGCCGGUGGAAACUGUCGGGCUAGAGUCCGGAAGAGGCGAGUGGAAUUCCCGGUGUAGCGGUGAAAUGCGCAGAUAUCGGGAGGAAGACCAGUGGCGAAGGCGGGUCUCUGGACAGUUCCUGACGCUGAGGCACGAAGGCCAGGGGAGCAAACGGG